AACCAAAAAGUGGUUGUAACUAGCUCUCAACAAACUUGAGAGCAAAAAGAACAAGAACCAAACAAGUGGUGUCAACUAAUUGACACCACCUCCAUGAUGCCGCCCACCCUCUCUAUGGCUCCAAAGGAGGAUGCCUAGAGAGAGAAGAGGUGUGGGCUAGAGAGAGGAAGAGGAGGGAGGCAUGGGCCCAAUGAAGGUGGCGGGA
Molecule: long non-coding RNA, 205 nt
Filed under: Elaeis guineensis (African oil palm)
Lineage: Eukaryota; Viridiplantae; Streptophyta; Magnoliopsida; Arecales; Arecaceae
Description: long non-coding RNA (EGUI_LNC008685)
Source: RNAcentral